This 450-nucleotide ribosomal RNA is filed under the name uncultured bacterium. RNAcentral describes it as "partial 16S ribosomal RNA". It matches the Rfam family "Bacterial small subunit ribosomal RNA", at positions 354 to 796 of the family's 1533-position model. The record is from RNAcentral.
GUGGGGAAUUUUGGACAAUGGGCGCAAGCCUGAUCCAGCAAUGCCGCGUGCAGGAAGAAGGCCUUCGGGUUGUAAACUGCUUUUGUACGGAACGAAAAGGCUCUGGUUAAUACCUGGGGCUCAUGACGGUACCGUAAGAAUAAGCACCGGCUAACUACGUGCCAGCAGCCGCGGUAAUACGUAGGGUGCAAGCGUUAAUCGGAAUUACUGGGCGUAAAGCGUGCGCAGGCGGUUUUGUAAGACAGAAGUGAAAUCCCCGGGCUCAACCUGGGAAUGGCGUUUGUGACUGCAAAGCUGGAGUGCGGCAGAGGGGGAUGGAAUUCCGCGUGUAGCAGUGAAAUGCGUAGAUAUGCGGAGGAACACCGAUGGCGAAGGCAAUCCCCUGGGCCUGCACUGACGCUCAUGCACGAAAGCGUGGGGAGCAAACAGGAUUAGAAACCCCGGUAGUCC